GCCAGGUGCGGUGGUGCAUGCCUGUCCCAAGCCUACUAGGGAGGCUGAGGCUGGAGGAGUGCCUGAGUCCAGGAGUUCUGGGCUGUAGUGAGCUAUGCCAGUCGGGUGUCCGCACUAAGUUUGGCAUCAAUAUAGUGACCUCACAGGAGUAGGGGACCACCAGGUUGUUUAAGGAGGGGUGAACGGUCGGAAACAGACAGGUCAAAACUCCUGUGCCAAUGAGUAGUGGGAUUUCGCCUGUGAAUAGCCACUGCACUUCAGCCUGGGCGACAUAGCAAGACCCCGUCUCUA
Molecule: non-coding RNA, 291 nt
Organism: Callithrix jacchus (white-tufted-ear marmoset)
Lineage: Eukaryota; Metazoa; Chordata; Mammalia; Primates; Cebidae
Source: Rfam